This 964-nucleotide long non-coding RNA is filed under the name Daphnia pulicaria. RNAcentral describes it as "uncharacterized LOC124350373". Lineage: Eukaryota; Metazoa; Arthropoda; Branchiopoda; Diplostraca; Daphniidae. The record is from RNAcentral.
UGUUAAAUAUUUUAAUUGUCCGAAAAUAGAACUCCAACGAUUCUAAAAAUAUUUUCAUGUCCGACAGUAGAACUUCAUUGAAUUUUAAAUAUCUCAAAUGUCCGACAAUCCAUCCAUCCUUGAUUCCUUUCCGUACAGUCAAACGUGGUAAUCAUGGAGGAAUCUUUUGGCUCCGUCAGUAGGUGGCUAAAAUCAAGUUGUCCGCCAGAUGACGCGAGUGACUUUGAGAGGACGAAAUUUUCGCCAGUUUGUUCCGAAACGCCAAGUGAAAAGGUAUUCCAAAUUCGUUACGGAAUUUCGGUGUCGAUCUACAUUUUCAGAAUUGAAAUUUAAUGGCAAUCUGGAAUAUAAUUUCCACUUGGCCAAAUAAUCGAUCACGUGGACUGAAACUGCUUUCCAUUUGCCGAAAUGUCGUCCGUUGUUAGCUGUACCUGUUCGGAUGUACAUCUCAUCUCACGCAGACGCAGAAACACUACAGUUGGUGUUCAGGUUGGACUUUGGAGAUCCUGUUGCUUAACUGUUGUAGAAUGUGAGAACUAAAAAAAUUCUGAGCUCCAUGGCUGGCAUCAUGGCCACAGUGGUUUUGUUGCAGCCAGCUGUUGAAAGGUGUGAUUGAGUCAAGUUGAGCUGCAGCUGCUGCGUGCAGUUUAUCGAGCUGGUGUUAUCCUGAAGUGUCAUUGCAGAAAGACUUUUUGAAAUGGACUUUGCGAAACUUAAACUAUGCCUGUGCUGUUCAAGGUGAAGUGGUUUUGCAGCCUGUUUCCAGUUGAGAGAUGUGAUAAUGCAGCUAAUACAGGAUUGAAGAAAAAGAACUGAAGUAGCUGUGCUGGUGUUCUCCUGAAAUUGCUGUGCCGCAGGAGUUGCAGAUAGUGUUUGUUUCCUCAUAAAAGUUAUUUAAAGAGUCUGGAUAUGAUGAUCCACUUCUGACUUUAACUUAUGUAAAACUUCAAAGUUGUAAGAAAUA